This 433-nucleotide ribosomal RNA is filed under the name uncultured bacterium. RNAcentral's name for it is "partial 16S ribosomal RNA". It matches the Rfam family "Bacterial small subunit ribosomal RNA", at positions 29 to 507 of the family's 1533-position model. The record is from RNAcentral.
AACGAACGCUGGCGGCAUGCCUAACACAUGCAAGUCGAACGAGACCUUCGGGUCUAGUGGCGCACGGGUGCGUAACGCGUGGGAACCUGCCCUUAGGUUCGGAAUAACUCCCCGAAAGGGGUGCUAAUACCGGAUAAUGUCUUCGGACCAAAGAUUUAUCGCCUUUGGAUGGGCCCGCGUUGGAUUAGCUAGUUGGUAGGGUAAAAGCCUACCAAGGCGACGAUCCAUAGCUGGUCUGAGAGGAUGAUCAGCCACACUGGGACUGAGACACGGCCCAGACUCCUGGGGGAGGGGGAGGGGGGGAAUAUUGAAAAGGGGGGGAAGGUCGGACCCAGAAUGGCGGGGGGAGAAGGGAGGGCCUGGGGGUUUAAAGUCUUUUUACCCGGGGAUGAAAAGGACGGGACGGGGAAAAAAAGCCCCGGCAAACUCCGGG